This 148-nucleotide non-coding RNA is filed under the name Gorilla gorilla gorilla (western lowland gorilla). The record is from Rfam by way of RNAcentral. Lineage: Eukaryota; Metazoa; Chordata; Mammalia; Primates; Hominidae.
GCCAGGCAUGGUGGUGGGUGCCUAUAAUCCCAGCUACUCAGGAGGCUGAGGCAGAAGAAUUGCUUGAACCCAGGAGGCGGAGGUUGCAGUGAGCCGAGAUGGCGCCACUGCACUCCAGCCUGGGUGACAGAGCAAGACUCUGUCUCAA